UACGAAGGGGGCUAGCGUUGUUCGGAUUUACUGGGCGUAAAGCGCGUGUAGGCGGGUCGUUAAGUUGGGGGUGAAAUCCCGAGGCUCAACCUCGGAACUGCCUUCAAAACUGGCGACCUGGAGCAAAGAAGAGGCGAGUGGAAUUGCGAGUGUAGAGGUGAAAUUCGUAGAUAUUGGGAAGAACACCGAUGGCGAAGGCAGCCAUCUGGACCGGCACUGACGCUGAGGCGCGAAAGCGUGGGGAGCAAACAGG
This 253-nucleotide ribosomal RNA is filed under the name uncultured bacterium. Its description in RNAcentral is "partial 16S ribosomal RNA". It matches the Rfam family "Bacterial small subunit ribosomal RNA", at positions 524 to 776 of the family's 1533-position model. The record is from RNAcentral.